CCAGACUCCUACGGGAGGCAGCAGUGGGGAAUAUUGCACAAUGGGGGAAACCCUGAUGCAGCAACGCCGCGUGAGUGAAGAAGUAUUUCGGUAUGUAAAGCUCUAUCAGCAGGGAAGAAGAAAGACGGUACCUGACUAAGAAGCUCCGGCUAAAUACGUGCCAGCAGCCGCGGUAAUACGUAUGGUGCAAGCGUUAUCCGGAUUUACUGGGUGUAAAGGGAGCGCAGACGGCAGCGCAAGCCAGGAGUGAAAGCCCGGGGCCCAACCCCGGGACUGCUCUUGGAACUGCGCGGCUGGAGUGCAGGAGGGGCAGGCGGAAUUCCUGGUGUAGCGGUGAAAUGCGUAGAUAUUAGGAGGAACACCAGUGGCGAAGGCGGUCUGCUGGACAGCAACUGACGCUGAGGCGCGAAAGCGUGGGGAGCAAACAGGAUUAGAUACCCGGGUA
This 445-nucleotide ribosomal RNA is filed under the name uncultured bacterium. RNAcentral's name for it is "partial 16S ribosomal RNA". It matches the Rfam family "Bacterial small subunit ribosomal RNA", at positions 331 to 792 of the family's 1533-position model. The record is from RNAcentral.